CGGUACCUACGGGGGGCAGCAGUCGGGAAUAUUGCACAAUGGAGGAAACUCUGAUGCAGUGACACCGCGUAUAGGAAGAAGGUUUUCGGAUUGUAAACUAUUUUAGACAGGGAAGAAAAAAGACAGUACCUGUAGAAUAAGCUCCGGCUAACUACGUGCCAGCAGCCGCGGUAAUACGGAGGAUCCGAGCGUUAUCCGGAUUUAUUGGGUUUAAAGGGUGCGUAGGCGGUUUGAUAAGUUAGAGGUGAAAUGUCGGGGCUCAACCCCGAAACUGCCUCUAAUACUGUUGGACUAGAGAAUAGUUG
This 305-nucleotide ribosomal RNA is filed under the name uncultured bacterium. Its description in RNAcentral is "bacterial SSU rRNA". It matches the Rfam family "Bacterial small subunit ribosomal RNA", at positions 333 to 654 of the family's 1533-position model. The record is from RNAcentral.